Molecule: long non-coding RNA, 199 nt
Filed under: Elaeis guineensis (African oil palm)
Lineage: Eukaryota; Viridiplantae; Streptophyta; Magnoliopsida; Arecales; Arecaceae
Description: long non-coding RNA (EGUI_LNC079430)
Source: RNAcentral
UCAGCAUGCUGGUGGAUGAUCUCUAGAUAUACCAAACCUAGGUUCAUCCAUUAGAUUAUCAAGUAUGCAUUAUGUCAUUGUUGGUUCGCAGAAAGCUUAAGGUUUUAAGAAACAUGUUGAAAAUAGUAAUAAACAACCUCCUACGGCUCUUUUAUUUAAUUAAAAAAACAUUUGUUUAACUUUUUCCUUAUUUUCCUUA